GACGGAGGAUGCAAGCGUUAUCCGGAAUGAUUGGGCGUAAAGCGUCCGCAGGUGGCAGUUCAAGUCUGCUGUCAAAGACCGGGGCUUAACUUCGGAAAGGCAGUGGAAACUGAACAGCUAGAGUAUGGUAGGGGCAGAGGGAAUUCCUGGUGUAGCGGUGAAAUGCGUAGAGAUCAGGAAGAACAUCGGUGGCGAAGGCGCUCUGCUGGACCAUACCUGACACUGAGGAGCGAAAGCCAGGGAGCAAACGGG
This 252-nucleotide ribosomal RNA is filed under the name uncultured bacterium. RNAcentral's name for it is "partial 16S ribosomal RNA". It matches the Rfam family "Bacterial small subunit ribosomal RNA", at positions 524 to 776 of the family's 1533-position model. The record is from RNAcentral.